This 491-nucleotide ribosomal RNA is filed under the name uncultured bacterium. RNAcentral describes it as "partial 16S ribosomal RNA". It matches the Rfam family "Bacterial small subunit ribosomal RNA", at positions 28 to 507 of the family's 1533-position model. The record is from RNAcentral.
GAUGAACGCUCGCUACAGGCUUAACACAUGCAAGUCGAGGGGAAACGAUGAGAGAGCUUGCUCUCUUAGUCGUCGACCGGCGCACGGGUGAGUAACGCGUAUCCAACCUGCCUCUGACCAAGGGAUAACCCGUCGAAAGUCGGACUAAUACCUUAUGCAGUCGUCGGAAGUCAUCUGAUGACGACGAAAGAUUUCAUCGGUGAGAGAUGGGGAUGCGUCUGAUUAGCUUGUUGGCGGGGUAACGGCCCACCAAGGCGACGAUCAGUAGGGGUUCUGAGAGGAAGGUCCCCCACAUUGGAACUGAGACACGGUCCAAACUCCUACGGGAGGCAGCAGUGAGGAAUAUUGGUCAAGGGGCGUAAGCCUGAACCAGCCAAGUAGCGUGCAGGAUGACGGCCCUAUGGGUGGUAAACUGCUUUUAUGCGGGGAUAAAGUGAGGGACGUGUCCUUCAUUGCAGGUACCGCAUGAAUAAGGACCGGCUAAUUCCGUG